UACGUAGGUGGCAAGCGUUGUCCGGAUUUACUGGGCGUAAAGAGCGCGCAGGCGGUCGUUCAAGUCGCGUGUGAAAGCCCCCGGCUCAACUGGGGGGGGUCACGCGAUACUGAUCGACUCGAAGGCAGGAGAGGGUAGUGGAAUUCCCGGUGUAGUGGUGAAAUGCGUAGAUAUCGGGAGGAACACCAGUGGCGAAGGCGGCUCACUGGACCGGUAUUGACGCUGAGGUGCGAAAGCGUGGGGAGCGAACAGG
This 253-nucleotide ribosomal RNA is filed under the name uncultured bacterium. Its description in RNAcentral is "partial 16S ribosomal RNA". It matches the Rfam family "Bacterial small subunit ribosomal RNA", at positions 524 to 776 of the family's 1533-position model. The record is from RNAcentral.